This 723-nucleotide long non-coding RNA is filed under the name Mytilus galloprovincialis (Mediterranean mussel). The record is from RNAcentral. Lineage: Eukaryota; Metazoa; Mollusca; Bivalvia; Mytilida; Mytilidae.
UGUUUCAUAGUGUAGUGUGUAAUAUAUUUUGAACUAUAAUCUUUAAAAACAAUUAUUCUGACGUAAAUGUCAAUGUCAAUGUUUUCUCAUUUUUUCUUAAUGAGUCCAAUAGAAGAAUCUGUUUGACAAUUAAAAGUAAUUUUAUAGAAACCAUUAGAAAUCAUAUGAAUAGUCAUAAGUUAUAAGUGAUAUUAGUUAUUAUGAGUGAUUAUUGGAAUGUAACAGGGAACAUCAAGAGGAGCUUGGACUCCUAAAGGAUAUUGUAACAAACCAAUAUUUGAAAUAAAUAUUAAACUAUGUUAAAAAAAAACAAUUAUUCUGACGUUGCAAAAACAAAAUAAAUGUGCCUGUAUAUAUUUUUAUUUAUUAUUCUUUUAUGUACCUUUUAUUAGUUAAUGAUUUACUUUUGAAUGUGAAUCGUCUUCUAAAUGGCUGACGUUAUUUUGUUAUCAAACCAUAGACAUAAUUUAGUCAUGUGACCGUGACGUCAUCAACGUUUUUUCAUUGUUUUCUACGGUUUAAAAUUGAAUUUAGAAUUAAAUUAUAAGAAAUGACUGUAAUAUUUUUUCUGUCUAUUCGAAAUAACAUAAAAAUGUGGUCACAAUGUUAAAUAACCCGCUACCCUCGUUAUUCAGUGUGCACCAAAAUGUUUAUGUUGGAUAGAUGUUCAUAGACAGAAAAAAUAUUACAGUCAUUCCUUAAAUAGAUUAAACUCAACGGGGG